This 791-nucleotide ribosomal RNA is filed under the name uncultured bacterium. Its description in RNAcentral is "bacterial SSU rRNA". It matches the Rfam family "Bacterial small subunit ribosomal RNA", at positions 8 to 796 of the family's 1533-position model. The record is from RNAcentral.
AGAGUUUGAUCCUGGCUCAGAUUGAACGCUGGCGGCAUGCCUUACACAUGCAAGUCGAACGGCAGCACGGGGCAACCUGGUGGCGAGUGGCGAACGGGUGAGUAAUAUAUCGGAAUGUACCCUAGAGUGGGGGAUAACGUAGCGAAAGUUACGCUAAUACCGCAUACGAUCUAAGGAUGAAAGUGGGGGACCGCAAGGCCUCAUGCUCAUGGAGCAGCCGAUAUCUGAUUAGCUAGUUGGUAGGGUAAAAGCCUACCAAGGCGACGAUCAGUAGCUGGUUUGAGAGAACGACCAGCCACACUGGAACUGAGACACGGUCCAGACUCCUACGGGAGGCAGCAGUGGGGAAUUUUGGACAAUGGGCGCAAGCCUGAUCCAGCAAUGCCGCGUGAGUGAAGAAGGCCUUCGGGUUGUAAAGCUCUUUUGUCAGGGAAGAAAAGGUAUCUCCUAAUACGAGGUGCUCAUGACGGUACCUGAAGAAUAAGCACCGGCUAACUACGUGCCAGCAGCCGCGGUAAUACGUAGGGUGCAAGCGUUAAUCGGAAUUACUGGGCGUAAAGCGUGCGCAGGCGGUUAUAUAAGUCAGAUGUGAAAUCCCCGGGCUCAACCUGGGAACUGCAUUUGAGACUGUAUGGCUAGAGUGUGUCAGAGGGGGGUAGAAUUCCACGUGUAGCAGUGAAAUGCGUAGAUAUGUGGAGGAAUACCGAUGGCGAAGGCAGCCCCCUGGGAUAACACUGACGCUCAUGCACGAAAGCGUGGGGAGCAAACAGGAUUAGAUACCCUGGUAGUCC